UAGCAGAUUGAGCUCAUCCUUUUACUGUAUCCUUUUCAGUUCAUUAAAUUGUAAACUGAGUUAAUAUAGAUUGCAUUUAUAUUUUUUUUUCUUUUCAAUUAGGUAUGGGAAUUGAUACAAUUUUUUAUUGUAUUUCCCAUUCUUUAUGAAAUGGUAUUGCUUUGCUUUGUGACUAGCAGAAAGACAAAAGAAAAGCAAUGAGGGUGGUACAGGUUUGCUAUGUGUUCAAGAUUAAUAUUCAAGACUGAAAGCAUGUAUGGCUGAGCUUAAAGGUUUACUUACUAUAGAACAUGAGAAGUUCUAAGAUGAGUAAUUUUUCUAUUGAAAAAAGUAGGAAUCGACUAAAUUACUUAUUUUGCUUUCAAAGUCCAUUCCUUUUAUAUAGAAUCCUCUAGUUUAAAGAAUGGGUAAUUAGCACAAAACGUCUUCACCUUAUAAUGUUAUAAUGCAAAAUGUUCAUAUCUUUCAUUUUUUGACACUUUUACCCUUACUUUCAUAUUUUAUUGCAGAAAUCAUCAUUUUUAUCAAAUUUCUCGUAUAAAAUGACAAAUAUACCCCCUAUUUGUAUAAAACCAUG
This 577-nucleotide long non-coding RNA is filed under the name Olea europaea (common olive). RNAcentral's name for it is "long non-coding RNA (OEUR_LNC014363)". The record is from RNAcentral. Lineage: Eukaryota; Viridiplantae; Streptophyta; Magnoliopsida; Lamiales; Oleaceae.